UACGGAGGGUGCAAGCGUUAAUCGGAAUUACUGGGCGUAAAGCGCACGCAGGCGGUCUGUCAAGUCGGAUGUGAAAUCCCCGGGCUCAACCUGGGAACUGCAUUCGAAACUGGCAGGCUAGAGUCUUGUAGAGGGGGGUAGAAUUCCAGGUGUAGCGGUGAAAUGCGUAGAGAUCUGGAGGAAUACCGGGGGCGAAGGCGGCCCCCUGGACAAAGACUGACGCUCAGGUGCGAAAGCGUGGGGAGCAAACAGGAUUAGCUACCCUGGUAGUCCACGCCGUAAACGAUGUCGAUUUGGAGGUUGUGCCCUUGAGGCGUGGCUUCCGGAGCUAACGCGUUAACUCGACCGCCUGGGGAGUACGGCCGCAAGGUUAAC
RNAcentral lists this ribosomal RNA (375 nucleotides) under uncultured bacterium. RNAcentral describes it as "bacterial SSU rRNA". It matches the Rfam family "Bacterial small subunit ribosomal RNA", at positions 524 to 898 of the family's 1533-position model. The record is from RNAcentral.